This 242-nucleotide ribosomal RNA is filed under the name Clostridioides difficile. RNAcentral describes it as "partial 23S ribosomal RNA". It matches the Rfam family "Bacterial large subunit ribosomal RNA", at positions 276 to 520 of the family's 2925-position model. The record is from RNAcentral. Lineage: Bacteria; Bacillati; Bacillota; Clostridia; Peptostreptococcales; Peptostreptococcaceae.
AAUAAAGUUUUCUUUAUUGGGGUUGCGGACAUAUCAUAACGAAGAGGUAUCGUAAUUGAAGAGGUUUGGAAAGACCCACCAUAGAAGGUAAUAGUCCUGUAUGUUAAACGAGAAGACUUUAGAUAUGGUCCAGAGUACCACGGGACACGUGAAACCCUGUGGGAAGCAGGAGGGACCACCCUCCAAGGCUAAAUACUACCUAGUGACCGAUAGCGUAUAGUACCGUGAGGGAAAGGUGAAAA